GCGGGUGUAACUCAGCGGUAGAGUUCUUGCUUGCCAAGCAAGGUGUCACCGGUUCGAAUCCGGUCACCCGCUCCA
RNAcentral lists this transfer RNA (75 nucleotides) under Methylotenera sp. RNAcentral describes it as "tRNA-Gly". It matches the Rfam family "tRNA". From Rfam's summary of the family: Transfer RNA (tRNA) molecules are approximately 80 nucleotides in length. Their secondary structure includes four short double-helical elements and three loops (D, anti-codon, and T loops). The record is from RNAcentral. Lineage: Bacteria; Pseudomonadati; Pseudomonadota; Betaproteobacteria; Nitrosomonadales; Methylophilaceae.